UGAAAGACAACAGUCAUCUGCAAGAUCUCAUCACCACCCUCCCCCCCAAACUGUCUGAAACCCUGGAGACUCCUCUGAAAAGGCACUGCAUUGGGUUUUUUCACAAACACAAUCUCAUUCAAACUUUCCAGCAUGCUUAUGAGAAAAAUAUUAACUCAAGAUUACAGAUGGGGAAACUGAGUCUGGGUGAUGCACUAUCUUGAAUCCAAGUGAGAGAAUCCAGGUUUCAACCUAAUUCAUCUUGAUCUCAAGGCCUCGGCUUCUCUAUCACACAGAGGUCCCAGAAGACCUGAGAGGCUGGUUACGCUACUCUCCCCAAGUUUCUUAGCACAUCCGCAAGAGAGCUGGAAACAGAAG
Leptonychotes weddellii (Weddell seal) is the source of this 357-nucleotide non-coding RNA. The record is from RefSeq and is a predicted model, not a curated record. NCBI's taxonomy places the organism in Eukaryota, Metazoa, Chordata, Mammalia, Carnivora, Phocidae.